CAGAAUGCAAAUGCCUAAUGUCCUAAAAUAUGAAAUGCAAUAUGCUAAACUAGUCCCAAGAAGAGGAGGGCAAAUUUUGAGGUGUUACAGCUGCCCAUAUUCAAUCCAUUGUGAACCUGUCGAUAUGAACAACCUCAACUUUCAGAUGAUCAGAGUGAAAAGUGGUUGAAUACCAAGAAUAGACGAACAAUUUGCGCUCCGCUGGGGAAUAUUAUUUUUUUUCUUGAACCCCACAACUUCUUUGAUUGAUUUUUUUUGUUUUUCUUAAACCCCACAACUUUUCAAUUGAUUUU
Molecule: long non-coding RNA, 293 nt
Filed under: Lathyrus oleraceus (garden pea)
Lineage: Eukaryota; Viridiplantae; Streptophyta; Magnoliopsida; Fabales; Fabaceae
Description: Pisum sativum (pea) long non-coding RNA (PSAT_LNC020544)
Source: RNAcentral